This 481-nucleotide ribosomal RNA is filed under the name uncultured Desulfobulbus sp. Its description in RNAcentral is "bacterial SSU rRNA". It matches the Rfam family "Bacterial small subunit ribosomal RNA", at positions 898 to 1382 of the family's 1533-position model. Lineage: Bacteria; Pseudomonadati; Thermodesulfobacteriota; Desulfobulbia; Desulfobulbales; Desulfobulbaceae. The record is from RNAcentral.
AACUCAAAGGAAUUGACGGGGGCCCGCACAAGCGGUGGAGCAUGUGGUUUAAUUCGAUGAUACGCGAGGAACCUUACCUGGGCUCAAAUGUAUGUUGACGUAUUCUGAAAGGGAUACUUCUUCGGACAAUAUACAAGGUGCUGCAUGGUUGUCGUCAGCUCGUGCCGUGAGGUGUCGGGUUAAGUCCCAUAACGAGCGCAACCCUUGCCUUUAGUUGCCAGCAGUUCGGCUGGGCACUCUAAAGGGACUGCCGGUGUUAAACCGGGGGAAGGUGGGGAUGACGUCAAGUCCUCAUGGCCUUUAUGACCAGGGCUACACACGUACUACAAUGGCCGAUACAAAGGGCAGCGACACUGCGAGGUGAAGCCAAUCCCGUAAAAUCGGUCUCAGUCCGGAUUGGAGUCUGCAACUCGACUCCAUGAAGUUGGAAUCGCUAGUAAUCGUGGAUCAGCAUGCCACGGUGAAUACGUUCCCGGGCCUU